RNAcentral lists this ribosomal RNA (464 nucleotides) under uncultured bacterium. RNAcentral describes it as "partial 16S ribosomal RNA". It matches the Rfam family "Bacterial small subunit ribosomal RNA", at positions 339 to 795 of the family's 1533-position model. The record is from RNAcentral.
CUACGGGGUGCUCCAGUGGGGAAUAUUGCACAAUGGGCGCAAGCCUGAUGCAGCCAUGCCGCGUGUAUGAAGAAGGCCUUCGGGUUGUAAAGUACUUUCAGCGGGGAGGAAGGGAGUAAAGUUAAUACCUUUGCUCAUUGACGUUACCCGCAGAAGAAGCACCGGCUAACUCCGUGCCAGCAGCCGCGGUAAUACGGAGGGUGCAAGCGUUAAUCGGAAUUACUGGGCGUAAAGCGCACGCAGGCGGUUUGUUAAGUCAGAUGUGAAAUCCCCGGGCUCAACCUGGGAACUGCAUCUGAUACUGGCAAGCGUGAGUCUCGUAGAGGGGGGUAGAAGUCCAGGUGUAGCGGUGAAAUGCGUAGAGAUCUGGAGGAAUACCGGUGGCGAAGGCGGCCCCCUGGACGAAGACUGACGCUCAGGUGCGAAAGCGUGGGGAGCAAACAGGAUUAGAUACCCCUGUAGUC